This 467-nucleotide ribosomal RNA is filed under the name uncultured bacterium. Its description in RNAcentral is "partial 16S ribosomal RNA". It matches the Rfam family "Bacterial small subunit ribosomal RNA", at positions 28 to 506 of the family's 1533-position model. The record is from RNAcentral.
GACGAACGCUGGCGGCGUGCUUAACACAUGCAAGUCGAACGGAAAGGCCCUGCUUUUGUGGGGUGCUCGAGUGGCGAACGGGUGAGUAACACGUGAGUAACCUGCCCUUGACUUUGGGAUAACUUCAGGAAACUGGGGCUAAUACCGGAUAGGAGCUCCUGCUGCAUGGUGGGGGUUGGAAAGUUUCGGCGGUUGGGGAUGGACUCGCGGCUUAUCAGCUUGUUGGUGGGGUAGUGGCUUACCAAGGCUUUGACGGGUAGCCGGCCUGAGAGGGUGACCGGCCCCAUUGGGCCUGAGAUACGGCCCAGACUCCUACGGGGGGCAGCAGUGGGGAAUAUUGCACAAUGGGCGGGGGCCUGAUGCAGCAACGCCGCGUGCGGGAUGACGGCCUUCGGGUUGUAAACCGCUUUCGCCUGUGACGAAGCGUGAGUGACGGUAAUGGGUAAAGAAGCACCGGCUAACUACGU